UGCCCUCUCCAUCCUCCUCCUCAAGACGUCACCAUCGCCUCCGUUCGUCUUCUCCCGCGCCGGCGCCGUCGAGGCCGAGUCGUUCCACUUCCCGCUCUGGCAGGUCUGCGCGGCCGCGUGCGGGGCGUUCGUCUUCUCCCGCGCCGAUGUCGUCGAGGCCGAGGCGUUCGACUUCCCGCUCUGGCAGGUCUGCGCGACCGCGUGCGGGGUGGGGCCGGCCGAGGUGGCGUCCCUCGACGGGCACACCAGGCUGCGCGCCGCCGCCGCGGCUGGCAGGACCGGCGUCGGCGUGGCCAACCCCACGGCCGUGGCCGUCACCCACGUGUUCCACAACAAGCAUGAGUUCCCCUUCUGGCCGUGGCCACAACCGACGCUGCCGAUUCCAUGGAGGAGCUCACCCCGGCCUUCUCCUCGUUUUCCUCCAUGGUCGGGUCUCCUGGUGGAGGUGCCGAUGUUGCCGGUUCCACAAUGCAAGAGCCCGUGGCAACGCGGCAAACUGAAGUUGUUCGCCGGCGUCGCACAGGGCGUCUUUGGCGUCGCAGGAAACCCUACCUUGGGGUUGGCACAGGGCAUCUCUGGCGUCGUAGGAAACCCCACCGCGGGGCUGGUGCAGGGAGUGGCCGACCAUCCCACCCUGCUGAAGCCGCAGGGCGUCUCUGCCAAGUCCAUGGUUGGCGAGUCCAACAUAGAAGUUAAUUUUUCUCCAUGAAGUUGAUAUGAUGCGAAGCUGCUGCCAGAUUGAAGGUUAAUUGAGUUCUCAUCUCCAAAAUGUUUGCAUUCUAAGUAUCCUCUUUGAUUCAGCGGUUCCAUGAUGCUACAGUUCACUUGUUUUUCACCUCUUGAUGCUGCUAUACACAGAAGGUGUUUGCUAAUUUGCACAUUAAAAUUUUCUGAUAAACUAUGCCAAUAUCACAUGCAUAUGCAUUUUUUAGUGAUGUUUGAUUAUUAAUCCAUGCUACAAUAAAUAGCUCUGCUGCCUUGCUUUUCAUAAUUUAAAUUUGUAUUUAUUUUCUUAUAUUCAAACAAAUGUUUGUAGAGAACAGUGUUCGGCGACUUAGAUAGCUUUAGUGAGUUGAUGGUUUGACUUGCUAGGUAUGCCUGCAAGGAGGACACUGUAAUUUGGUCCAACAAGUACACACAACAAUCUUCUGAUUGUUCAACAUUCUUUAUUGCGUGAAUUUCUGACAUAUCAGGAUGCAGGUACAUGACACUAUUGUGUUGUCUGCAGAGGUUCUCAUUCUGAAAGAAACUGCAACUAUGUAAGAGCUUAUUACGCAGAUUAUGAAAUUUGCAGUUCAAGUUCUGGACAUCAGAUUGAUACUUUACCAAAGGUGCACCAAUCGGCCCUCCGUCUCCUAGGGUGAUGGCACAAUGACAUCGACAGCGGCAGCAAUUGCGCACAGAUUGAUGCGCCAUGCUCAGGCAAUAAUAGUCCAAGCUUCAUCGUGUAAUAAGCUCCACCUGCGUGCACAGGUAAGUGGUUCUGGUACUGCUUCUGUUUUUGUUUGUUAUAUUUGCUGCCAGUCUGAUUGCUACUAUCUACUGUACGUGCUUAUUGUUUGGCUUUGAAGAGAUAUUUGCUCGAUGUUAUGCCAAUUAAUUUCAAACAGAUGGUAAACUGUGAUUUGCUCCUCAAUUUGUAUUGUAUCUGAGAUCUCAUUUGUGCGUACAAUAUUAGCUUCUUCAUGGCAAUUUCAAUGUUACAUGUACCAUAAGCCAAUCAAUAUCUGCACCGUAUUGGUCUGAUGCUUUCUUACCCUCUCAUCCUUAAUUAAUAGGCAUUUUCCAAUAUUGGUCUGAUGCUUUGCAAACUCACUUGUAUUCUCCAUGUUAUUUACACGAUAUCUUGAAGGUUCAUGGUCCGAAUAUAAAUAAGAUUCGGUUCUUCUCUUAGAAACUUAGCCUUCUGCUUAUAUUUGCAUUUGCUAUUGAUGAUGUAAUUUGAGCAAAUACCCCAUAUCCUUUUUACCAAGUUUGGAUAAAAGCAUAUAUAAGUCUGAUUUUAACAAUAUUCUGUGAUCGACUAUGUGUUUGCCCAAAAUUUAUUAGAUGACAUGGAAUGCUUGAUUAAUGAUAUCAUUUUUUUUUAUUUCUUUGUGGUUCCUGGUGUGAAGCAACAGAUUUGAAUAAAAAUAUUUAUUUAUUUAGAAACAUUUUUAAGUUUAUCUGUACAUAUUGAUAUUAGCUUGAAUUUUGAACAAGAAAUAGUUUCUUAAUACGUACUUUUGAAUUUUAUGCACUUGUAUGUACACUGCUACUAACGGUGCUCUUGAUCAUGUCAUACACGAGUACUAAUGGUGCAUGCCUUAAUAUUGGAAUGGAAUGAAUACCAGCUUAUGUAGAGAAGCAAGGCCUUUUCGUAUUUGAGGAAGAAUGUCAUGCAACCAUUCAAGAAGAAUAGGAUGGGUAUUCCAGUAAUCCUAUGGAUUAGUCUCUAUAGUUGUUGGCAGCCUAUAAAGCAGAGGUAUCUAUGACUAAAUAAAUAAAAAUUGAUGACUUACUAUUUUACAAUAUUAGUUUCGACUAUAGUGUUGCUGACUAAAUCAUGCUACCUCUCAUUAUUGCGGCGUCUCGCUAGCAGGGUAUUCCCAUUUAGAUUAUGUUUGCCCUUUUGAUCACCGGCACGGCUGUAGCCGUCCAUGUAGGCGUCGGCGGCAGUAGGGGGGAGGGGACAUCGGAGCCGUCGGUGAUAUUGGAGGAAUCAAUCUAGCCGACCAUCCUUUGAAUGACACAGUUUUGCUACCUCCCACUGAUAACCUUUAGGAGCUAUGGAGAGGAGGGUUAGGAGGGUGGCGAGCCAGCGGCGUGAAGAGAAAAUGUUAGGGUCACAAUAGCAAACGAGUUCAUCUUGCCUGGGUUGCGCUGAUAAGAAAGAAGAUAGAGCUUCAGGUGAGGCAUAUCGUCCCUAGGAAUUUGUUGGUAUCGAGGAUUGUUCCAGGAAGCACUUCUGAUGACAACAUGAUGUUGGGCCUCGGGGACAUGGUAACCAACAGAAACUUAUUGAAGCACAUUGUUGUCAUCAUCCACUUAGUGCCCGCCGGGUCACGCUCAGCAGCAACGGUGCACGGCGAUGGGAAAGACGCAGGGGUGGCGGGAUCAUCACCAGUGGGGCCGUCGGGGAGAAGAUGGAGGCAGAUAAGAAAGGAACGGGCUCGGUUGGGUGUGAAAAGGAGAAUGAGAGAGAUAGCGAUGAUGUGGUGCUGCACCACUGCUCUCCUACUGCUAGCUGAAUUUUGGUAUUGUUGCUGCUAUCUGAAUUUCGCACACACACGGCGAGGUGUGC
RNAcentral lists this ribosomal RNA (3283 nucleotides) under Triticum aestivum (bread wheat). RNAcentral's name for it is "partial small subunit ribosomal RNA". The record is from RNAcentral. Lineage: Eukaryota; Viridiplantae; Streptophyta; Magnoliopsida; Poales; Poaceae.